AGUGAACGCUGGCGGUAGGCCUAACACAUGCAAGUCGAACGGCAGCACAGUAAGAGCUUGCUCUUACGGGUGGCGAGUGGCGGACGGGUGAGGAAUACAUCGGAAUCUACUUUUUCGUGGGGGAUAACGUAGGGAAACUUACGCUAAUACCGCAUACGACCUACGGGUGAAAGCAGGGGAUCUUCGGACCUUUCGCGAUUGAAUGAGCCGAUGUCGGAUUAGCUAGUUGGCGGGGUAAAGGCCCACCAAGGCGACGAUCCGUAGCUGGUCUGAGAGGAUGAACAGCCACACUGGAACUGAGACACGGUCCAGACUCCUACGGGAGGCAGCAGUGGGGAAUAUUGGACAAUGGGCGCAAGCCUGAUCCAGCCAUACCGCGUGGGUGAAGAAGGCCUUCGGGUUGUAAAGCCCUUUUGUUGGGAAAGAAAAGAAGCAGGUUAAUACCCCGCUGUUCUGACGGUACCCAAAGAAUAAGCACCGGCUAACUUCGUG
This 492-nucleotide ribosomal RNA is filed under the name uncultured bacterium. RNAcentral's name for it is "partial 16S ribosomal RNA". It matches the Rfam family "Bacterial small subunit ribosomal RNA", at positions 29 to 507 of the family's 1533-position model. The record is from RNAcentral.